UAGGGAAUCUUCCACAAUGGGCGCAAGCCUGAUGGAGCAACACCGCGUGAGUGAAGAAGGGUUUCGGCUCGUAAAGCUCUGUUGUUAAAGAAGAACACGUAUGAGAGUAACUGUUCAUACGUUGACGGUAUUUAACCAAAAAGUCACGGCUAACUACGUGCCAC
This 164-nucleotide ribosomal RNA is filed under the name uncultured bacterium. RNAcentral's name for it is "partial 16S rRNA". It matches the Rfam family "Bacterial small subunit ribosomal RNA", at positions 355 to 511 of the family's 1533-position model. The record is from RNAcentral.